This 300-nucleotide ribosomal RNA is filed under the name Triticum aestivum (bread wheat). RNAcentral describes it as "partial small subunit ribosomal RNA". The record is from RNAcentral. Lineage: Eukaryota; Viridiplantae; Streptophyta; Magnoliopsida; Poales; Poaceae.
AUGUGGAUGAAGAUGGCGACUUGCAUUCGUAAGGUGGCUUUAGAGGAGUUUGGAGUGACCAGGGGAAGUAGAAGCGAAGCUAAAGAUACCCGGUGGUGGAACGAUGUUGUCCAGAAGGCUAUUAAGGAGAAGAAAGACUGUUCUGGACAACUACACAUGGAUAGGAGUGUAGACAACAUAGAGAAGUACAAGGUGGCAAUGAAGGCUGCAAAUCGAGCUAUGGGUGUAGCAAUGGAUCAGGCGUUUGAGGGGCCUCUAUCAGCGCUUAGACACGAAGGAAGGCGGAAUGGACAUCUAUAA